Molecule: ribosomal RNA, 552 nt
Filed under: Klebsiella michiganensis
Lineage: Bacteria; Pseudomonadati; Pseudomonadota; Gammaproteobacteria; Enterobacterales; Enterobacteriaceae
Also listed under: 1 other name
Description: bacterial SSU rRNA
Rfam family: Bacterial small subunit ribosomal RNA
Source: RNAcentral
AAAUUGAAGAGUUUGAUCAUGGCUCAGAUUGAACGCUGGCGGCAGGCCUAACACAUGCAAGUCGAACGGUAGCACAGAGAGCUUGCUCUCGGGUGACGAGUGGCGGACGGGUGAGUAAUGUCUGGGAAACUGCCUGAUGGAGGGGGAUAACUACUGGAAACGGUAGCUAAUACCGCAUAACGUCGCAAGACCAAAGAGGGGGACCUUCGGGCCUCUUGCCAUCAGAUGUGCCCAGAUGGGAUUAGCUAGUAGGUGGGGUAACGGCUCACCUAGGCGACGAUCCCUAGCUGGUCUGAGAGGAUGACCAGCCACACUGGAACUGAGACACGGUCCAGACUCCUACGGGAGGCAGCAGUGGGGAAUAUUGCACAAUGGGCGCAAGCCUGAUGCAGCCAUGCCGCGUGUAUGAAGAAGGCCUUCGGGUUGUAAAGUACUUUCAGCGGGGAGGAAGGCGAUAAGGUUAAUAACCUUGUCGAUUGACGUUACCCGCAGAAGAAGCACCGGCUAACUCCGUGCCAGCAGCCGCGGUAAUACGGAGGGUGCAAGCGUUAA